RNAcentral lists this ribosomal RNA (254 nucleotides) under uncultured bacterium. RNAcentral describes it as "partial 16S ribosomal RNA". It matches the Rfam family "Bacterial small subunit ribosomal RNA", at positions 524 to 776 of the family's 1533-position model. The record is from RNAcentral.
UACGUAGGGGGCAAGCGUUGUCCGGAAUUAUUGGGCGUAAAGAGCGUGUAGGCGGCCAGAUAAGUCCGCUGUGAAAUCUCGAGGCUCAACUUCGAGCUGUCGGUGGAAACUAUCUGGCUAGAGUCCGGAAGAGGAGAAUGGAAUUCCUGGUGUAGCGGUGAAAUGCGUAGAUAUCGGGAGGAACACCAGUGGCGAAGGCGACUACCUGGCCUGUUUCUUGACGCUGAGGCGCGAAAGCUAGGGGAGCAAACGGG